CGGACGGGUGAGUAACGCGUGGAAAACCUGCCGUAUACUGGGGGAUAACACUUAGGAAAUAGGUGCUAAUACCGCAUAAGCGCACAGCUUCGCAUGAAGCGGUGUGAAAAACUCUGGUGAUAUACGAUGGUUCCGCGUCUGAUUAGCUAGUUGGUGGGGUAAUGGCCUACCAAGGCAACGAUCAGUAGCCGGCCUGAGAGGGUGAACGGCCACAUUGGGACUGAGACACGGCCCAAACUCCUACGGGAGGCAGCAG
Molecule: ribosomal RNA, 256 nt
Filed under: uncultured bacterium
Lineage: Bacteria
Description: partial 16S ribosomal RNA
Rfam family: Bacterial small subunit ribosomal RNA
Source: RNAcentral